Molecule: transfer RNA, 71 nt
Filed under: Xenodermichthys copei (bluntnose smooth-head)
Lineage: Eukaryota; Metazoa; Chordata; Actinopteri; Alepocephaliformes; Alepocephalidae
Description: tRNA-Tyr
Rfam family: tRNA
About the family: Transfer RNA (tRNA) molecules are approximately 80 nucleotides in length.
Source: RNAcentral
GGUAGGGUGGCUGAGCGUGUAAGUGGCGGGUUGUAGCCCUGAAGACAGAGGUUUAAGUCCUCUCCCUACCA